This 394-nucleotide ribosomal RNA is filed under the name uncultured bacterium. RNAcentral describes it as "bacterial SSU rRNA". It matches the Rfam family "Bacterial small subunit ribosomal RNA", at positions 28 to 417 of the family's 1533-position model. The record is from RNAcentral.
GACGAACGCUGGCGGCGUGCCUAACACAUGCAAGUGGAGCGACGAACCAGGCUUCGGCCUGGGGCAGAGCCGCGAACGGGUGAGUAGCACGUGGGUAACCUGCCCUGAUGAUUGGGACAACCCGAGGAAACUCGGGCUAAUACCAAAUGUGCCCUCCGACCAUAAGGUCGCUGGGGAAAGGAAGCUUCGGCCUCCGCAUCGGGAUGGGCCCGCGGCCCAUUAGCUUGUUGGUGAGGAAUGGCUCACCAAGGCAACGAUGGGUAGCUGGUCUGAGAGGACGAUCAGCCACACUGGGACUGAGACACGGCCCAGACUCCUACGGAGGCAGCAGUGGGGAAUCUUGCGCAAUGCGCGAAAGCGUGACGCAGCAACGCCGCGUGGGGGAAGAAGGCCU